UGUUUGAAAGCAAAACCUCCUAGGAAACAGUCUGAGAAGCCAUGAAGCACAAGAAGCCUGAUGUAAGCAGCAACAAUAAAGCUGGAGUUUGUAAAUGAACCUUGUGACAGAGUGAGAUCUUAAAAUGCAAAUGAACCAGACACAAAGCAUAAAACACGGUGGCAGUGGUAAUUAAAUCCAAAACAGUAGGAGAGAACAUUCAGAGCUUCACGGCAGAGGGCAGAAUACUUCUGAGAUAGUCCAAUAUGAGGUUCAAGGGUGAAUGGUGUAAGAAUACACCUUUCUGACAGGACCAAAUGGAGAAGCACUUCCAUUUAGCCAGGUACACUUGGGAAGUCCCCCAGAGCUGGAAGAUGGAUCUGGCAAUAUCUGGGAGUAAAGAUCACUGGUGGAGUUCAGCGAAGGUCUUGGUCAGUUGAUCCACCAACGUGUUCUGCUUCCUUGGAAGAAUUGACUUGCUCCAAUUUAUGAGAAGCUCCAGGACGUCGAAUGUGGACAGGAUGGCGGAUACAGUGGAUAGCACCUGAGCCUCACACCAAUCUCUCAUCAACCAGUAGUCCAAGGACAGGAACACAUGAACUCCCGAUUGUUGUAGAUGUGCUGCCACCACUGCCAGGCACUUUGUGAACACCCGAGGAGCAGCUGAGAGACCAAAUGGGAGCACUGUGAACUGACAAUGGGAGUCAUUUGCCACAAAUCUGAGAAACUUCCGAAGGUUGUAUUGUAUUGCGACCUGGAAAUAAGCAUCCUUUAAAUUGAGGAGAAUGUACCAGUCCCACUAUUCAGGGAGGGAAUAAUCAAGGCUAGGCUAAUCAUGUGGAAUUUUAUUUUCUUCAGGAAUUUGUUCAACUCUCUUAGAUCUAAAAUAGACCUGAGACCUUCUUUUAUUUUGGGGAUAAGGAGUUAGUGAGAAUAGAAGCCUUUCCCCCAAGGCCCAGUGGGACUUCUUCUAUGGCUCCUGCCUGAAGAAGCAAUUGAACCUUUUGCAGAAGGAGGAUCUCAUGAGAGUGGUGGAGAAGAGGGGGGUGGGAAGGAGAGGUAGAAAUGAACUGAAUGAAGGGUAUGUGAUAUUGCACUCCAUGUUUUAUGAAAAUAGGCUUAUGAAUGUGAAUAUAAUGUAACUGGAAUAUGCUUUACGCAAAAGGUCUCUUGUAAGGUAUCAUUACAAAGCUUAUAAUUUACUGAGUGUGUUCAUCCUAUUUGUAUGCAUGUAUCAUCCUUGUAUCUGAAGCUAGAAAUAUGAAGUAUAACUCUGAGGUCCUAUUGUAACUAUGCAAAGUGUGGGCCAUUAAUGGUGGUUUAGAAUUUUGAUAGCUACCAUUGACUAGGACAAUUGGUUGUAGAUGGUUUAUUUACCUGCAAGCCUUUCUGUGUACGUGUGGGCCAGCCAGUGGGUAAUGAAAAAUGAGGUCUUACAGUGACAUGUGACCAUGUUACAUGAUACUGGAAUCCAUCUUAAAUCUGGUACUUUUCCAGUUAGACGGAGGGGUGGGGAACCAGAGAGACAAAAGAUUCUCGCCUUGUGCCAGAACAAAGGAGGUGGCCAGUCCUGAGAACACCCCUGCUUUCCACCUAAGAUGUCUGCUGGAACUAACAAGGACUCUACCAGGGAAAGGAUCGGGCCCAGACUAGGAAGGUGUCUAGUCUGUGAAAGAAGCUUAUUGGAACAUCUCUGAGGAUCUUGAGACUGGGCUGCAUUUACAUCCUCCAAACUGUCCUGAGAGCAGUUCUGGCAACUGGCUUGCCCUCAUCCAACAUUACUGCAAAUUUUAGAAUGUUCUCUCAGUAGAUGAAGUCAUAGUGCUCACGAGUCCCUGUUGGUAAGUGCCUGUUGGUUUGCAAUUCUGAGUUGCAGACUACCUGUAGAAUGAAGUUUGCAUCCAAACAAGUCCAGCCUCUUCAAAUUUUUGCCUUUUAGCAUCAAUGCUUGGUGUCAUCUCUCCCAUUCGUAGCAGCCACCACCACCAAGAAAUGGGGAUAGUGAAAGUACAAAUGCUCAUUCCCCUUAGAGGGGAUGUAGUACCUCCUUUCUGCUUGCUUUGCUGUGUGGGGUAAGGAGGAUCAUAGGCAUAAUUUGACUUCUAUAUUUGAGGAGGCAAGGGGCUUAAUAUCAAUCAGUCUAAUUUCUGGAUUUACCAAUUGCUAGUGGUAGUUAAAUUACAAUGUACUUGAAAUCACAAAUACAAUUUAUGUUCAUUGUGUAGUCACCCUUUUUAAAAUUUUAACUUAAUUAUUUGCCAUGUUUACUAGCUACCAGUUAAAAAUCAACAUUAACAUAAAAACAAAUUAUUGAAUAAACAGAACGAUGCACUGUCAUGUAACUAUGAAUCAUGUCUCCCUGGUUUUAGAGUUACAUAAACAUUGUCUUAAUAUAGAAAUACUGUAUUUAUCUUAAUGUAGACGCAAUUGUCUUUGCCUUCUGUUAGCUUUUCUUGGUUUUAGAUAUAGUAAAAUAAUGUGAUGGACCUAAUUUAAAAAAGAGUAAUAUUUUACUUAAAUUAAAACUUUUAAAGGUC
Dermochelys coriacea (leatherback sea turtle) is the source of this 2516-nucleotide long non-coding RNA. RefSeq lists it as uncharacterized. NCBI's taxonomy places the organism in Eukaryota, Metazoa, Chordata, Testudines, Dermochelyidae. The transcript is spliced from 5 exons. The record is from RefSeq and is a predicted model, not a curated record.